AUGGUCCACGGGCAUCUAUAUCUGCUGUUCCCAAUCCCACCAGCAAGGGGCGCGCGAGAUGAAACAGUUCUGUCCUGGGAUGUACCACCGAGGGUAGCGGAAAGACCACCCACUCUGGAAGGUACCAUUGGGAGAGGGCGUGUGACAACAGAGAGGGUCCCCUUACACCGCGUCGGGCAUGGACCACAGUUCCCAGCAGCGGCACUCAUGGCGCCACUAGGUCCAUCCCCACUCGCUCCUCUUCGUCUUCCCACUGCUUUUGAAUCCGAGUGGACACAGUUUGUGGUCAUCUGCAUCUGUAACCUAUUUCUUUCCUGAUAUUGGUAAGUUUUGUCUUUAGUUAUCUUUUUUUUUUUUUAAUUCUUGUGGGUGGAAACUUAUGAAUUCAUAUUGACCUUUUGAAAGAGCCAGCUUUGGGUUUUGUUGCUUAUCUACAUAUUUUUUCUAAUAUCUGUUCUGAUCAUUAUUUCCCUUAUUUUGCUGACAGUCUCACUACCAAAGGGGUUUAAUAAAGUCCCUGAGAGUUUCCCA
Molecule: long non-coding RNA, 531 nt
Filed under: Bos indicus x Bos taurus (hybrid cattle)
Lineage: Eukaryota; Metazoa; Chordata; Mammalia; Artiodactyla; Bovidae
Description: lncRNA (ENSBIXG00005012026.1)
Source: RNAcentral